Molecule: transfer RNA, 71 nt
Filed under: Euxiphydria potanini
Lineage: Eukaryota; Metazoa; Arthropoda; Insecta; Hymenoptera; Xiphydriidae
Also listed under: 1 other name
Description: tRNA-Lys
Source: RNAcentral
AAUUAAAUGACUGAACUGUAAGUAUUGAUCUCUUAAAUCAAAAAUAGUAAAUUAACAAUUACUUUUAAUUA